Molecule: ribosomal RNA, 422 nt
Filed under: uncultured bacterium
Lineage: Bacteria
Description: bacterial SSU rRNA
Rfam family: Bacterial small subunit ribosomal RNA
Source: RNAcentral
GAUGAACGCUGGCGGCGUGCCUAAUACAUGCAAGUUGUGCGGUAACAGAGAGAGCUUGCUCUCUGCUGACGAGCGGCGGACGGCAGAGUAACGCGUAGGAACAUACCCCAAACUGAGGGAUAACUGCUCGAAAGAGUAGCUAAUACCGCAUGUGGUCUUCGGAUUAAAGCUUCGGCGGUUUGGGAGUGGCCUGCGUCCGAUUAGCUAGUUGGUGAGGUAAUUGCUCACCAAGGCGACGAUCGGUAGCUGGUCUGAGAGGAUGAUCAGCCUGACUGGAACUGAGAACGGUCCAGACUCCUACGGGAGGCAGCAGUAGGGAAUUUUCCACAAUGGGCGAAAGCCUGAUGGAGCAACGCCGCGUGCAGGAUGAAUGCCUUCGGGUUGUAAACUGCUUUUCUGUGUGAAGAAUAUGACGGUAACAC